RNAcentral lists this long non-coding RNA (1443 nucleotides) under Malus domestica (apple). RNAcentral's name for it is "long non-coding RNA (MDOM_LNC020191)". The record is from RNAcentral. Lineage: Eukaryota; Viridiplantae; Streptophyta; Magnoliopsida; Rosales; Rosaceae.
AGCAGACACAGUAUGUACCGGUCUAAGCAUUGUCGUAUCCCUCCGACAAUCCAAUGACCAGGAACCUUUUGGACAUAAUGGUUAUGUGAAGAAGGUCUCUGUAGUCUAACAUCAUUAGAUUACUUCUUCAAUCAAUCCAUUGUCCAUGGAUUCACUAUUUAGGACAUAUAUCGUUUAUUGAGAUAGUCCUAAUUAGUAUCUUUGUCAUUUGAUGUAUAAGAGUCAUCUAUACAUCGAUUCAUUUGUCCUGAAAGGUUUCUUCCAAAGAUUGACUUUCAGGUCAUAUUUCCAACACCAAGUUAGGUGCCAGUCCUGUCGGGUAGAUUGAAUUAGGCAAUCUGACUUGUAUGUGACCGUGCUUCUGCACCAGCCCUCACGUGGUCAUAGUACUAGAGCAUAUUGAUUACACCCAGUCUUGUUCGUGUCAGAAAUUAUCUGUUCGAACUUGUGUGUGUCAGCUUAGAUGGAUGAGCACUUACCUAUACUUGAUUAUCACAUGAUUAUAUUAUUGUGGCAUUUGAUACAUCAUAACUUGGCAUAUAUUUGGUUAUAAUUCUAUUAUAGUAUUGUUGAUUUAUUGUUUACAUACCUAUGUAGUAUGUUUUCUUAUAAGCAUUGUUUUGUUGAUCCACUCAACUUUGUUUUUCGCCCCUCUAGGACCUAGAUAGCUGUAUUCUUUAUGGCACUUGAGGAAUCUCAGCAGUUUUGACAUUUCCUUCUGUUUAGGCAUACGAAUUUAUCACUGUUAUGUAAUAAGUGUACUUUAGUUAUUUUGACUACUCUUCUGUAGUCUCACUGUUUAUUACGCUUUGAAUAAUUGUAGUGGGUUCACCCCACAAUUGCGCACUCUUUCACUGUUUAGUUCUAAUUAGUUUUAAUUUUGUUCACUUUUUGUAUCACUUACCCUUAUGGUUACGUCACCUCACGGUGAUGGCCAACAUGUUUCAACCUUUCCAGGUCGAGGUGUGUCAAUAACAAUUGAUUUUGAAUGGCAUAAAAUUCUUAUCAACAGUCAAUUCAUCGAAUAUCUCAAGUUCAAGGUAAACACAAAUCAAUCAUUUGUUCAAUUCUUUUUAUUCAUUUAUAAUAGUUGGUUUCAUGGUUUAUUCAAUCCUGGUUAUCCUCCACAUCAAAUCCAUAAUUCACACAAUUGUCAUCACUAUUGUCCUCAUUCUCAUCGUCGUUAGCUCCGCAUCAUUUGGAACCAACUAUUAUAUUAAAACAUCACCUAUAUAUAUAUAUAGGAAUCCUUUAACAAGAGGGAUCCCCAUUUUUUUAGAAAAAUGGGGACACCCUCUUGACCAUUGGAUUUGACUUUAAUGAAAUUGUGUGCCCUGUGAUUUAAUCUCAACCACACAAUUUCAUUAAAGUCAAUCCAACGGUAAAGAGGGUGUCUCCAUUUAAAAAAAAAAAAGAAAAACAGGGAUCCCUCUUGUUAAAAGG